RNAcentral lists this ribosomal RNA (1068 nucleotides) under Streptomyces sp. 292(2010). RNAcentral describes it as "bacterial SSU rRNA". It matches the Rfam family "Bacterial small subunit ribosomal RNA", at positions 55 to 1140 of the family's 1533-position model. The record is from RNAcentral. Lineage: Bacteria; Bacillati; Actinomycetota; Actinomycetes; Kitasatosporales; Streptomycetaceae.
AUGCAGUCGAACGAUGAACCACUUCGGUGGGGAUUAGUGGCGAACGGGUGAGUAACACGUGGGCAAUCUGCCCUGCACUCUGGGACAAGCCCUGGAAACGGGGUCUAAUACCGGAUACUGACCCGCUUGGGCAUCCAAGCGGUUCGAAAGCUCCGGCGGUGCAGGAUGAGCCCGCGGCCUAUCAGCUUGUUGGUGAGGUAAUGGCUCACCAAGGCGACGACGGGUAGCCGGCCUGAGAGGGCGACCGGCCACACUGGGACUGAGACACGGCCCAGACUCCUACGGGAGGCAGCAGUGGGGAAUAUUGCACAAUGGGCGAAAGCCUGAUGCAGCGACGCCGCGUGAGGGAUGACGGCCUUCGGGUUGUAAACCUCUUUCAGCAGGGAAGAAGCGAAAGUGACGGUACCUGCAGAAGAAGCGCCGGCUAACUACGUGCCAGCAGCCGCGGUAAUACGUAGGGCGCGAGCGUUGUCCGGAAUUAUUGGGCGUAAAGAGCUCGUAGGCGGCUUGUCACGUCGGUUGUGAAAGCCCGGGGCUUAACCCCGGGUCUGCAGUCGAUACGGGCAGGCUAGAGUUCGGUAGGGGAGAUCGGAAUUCCUGGUGUAGCGGUGAAAUGCGCAGAUAUCAGGAGGAACACCGGUGGCGAAGGCGGAUCUCUGGGCCGAUACUGACGCUGAGGAGCGAAAGCGUGGGGAGCGAACAGGAUUAGAUACCCUGGUAGUCCACGCCGUAAACGGUGGGCACUAGGUGUGGGCGACAUUCCACGUCGUCCGUGCCGCAGCUAACGCAUUAAGUGCCCCGCCUGGGGAGUACGGCCGCAAGGCUAAAACUCAAGGAAUUGACGGGGGCCCGCACAAGCGGGCGGAGCAUGUGGCUUAAUUCGACGCAACGCGGAGGAACCUUACUCAAGGCUUGACAUACACCGGAAAGCAUCAGAGAUGGUGGCCCCCUUGUGGUCGGUGUACAGGUGGUGCAUGGCUGUCGUCAGCUCGUGUCGUGAGAUGGUGGGUAAGUCCCGCAAGAAGCGCAACCCUUGUCUCGUGGUGCGCAGCCAGCCCUGUCGAUCGU